This 301-nucleotide ribosomal RNA is filed under the name uncultured bacterium. RNAcentral describes it as "partial 16S ribosomal RNA". It matches the Rfam family "Bacterial small subunit ribosomal RNA", at positions 509 to 807 of the family's 1533-position model. The record is from RNAcentral.
CAGUAGCCGCGGUAAUACGUAGGGUGCGAGCGUUAAUCGGAAUUACUGGGCGUAAAGCGUGCGCAGGCGGUUUGUUAAGACGGAUGUGAAAUCCCCGGGCUCAACCUGGGAACUGCAUUCGAGACUGGCAAGCUAGAGUAUGGCAGAGGGGGGUAGAAUUCCACGUGUAGCAGUGAAAUGCGUAGAGAUGUGGAAGAAUACCGAUGGCGAAGGCAGCCUCCUGGGCCAAUACUGACGCUCAUGCACGAAAGCGUGGGGAGCAAACAGGAUUAGAUACCCCCGUAGUCCCUGUCUCUUAUAC